RNAcentral lists this long non-coding RNA (1203 nucleotides) under Lepidothrix coronata (blue-crowned manakin). Its description in RNAcentral is "lncRNA (ENSLCOG00000004299.1)". Lineage: Eukaryota; Metazoa; Chordata; Aves; Passeriformes; Pipridae. The record is from RNAcentral.
GGGGAAGAUCAGAGUGCAAAAUCAACUCCUCAUUGGUCUUGCUGCAAAAAAUGGAGCUACUGACUCACAGGAUUUUGAUCACCUCAGUAAAAGGAGGAUUUCUUCAAUACCUGACUCCACAAGGUUGAACAUCGCCCUCACUCAUUAUUCCCUUGUCUGUAUAACCAGGAGCCGUGUCCACCACAGUCAUCAUGUUAAACUGUACUGGUAGCUCAAGUUCAGCCAGUUACUUUACAUUAUUUCUAUCUUCUAGUGUGUCAAUAAUUUCCAAAGUAUAGGCAUCCAGUCUUAUGAGUCUACACUUUUUGUUGAUGCCAGAUGCAUGACUGUACAUGUGUCUGCCAUAAAAUGUAGGCUGUUUGAAUGAGAUCAGUUCCACAAGUAACCUAUAUCACUUCCUAAAACCAACUUGUUAUCACUUGCUAAAACUAAAACUAACUUGUCCUCAUCAUAACUUACUACUUCACUAAUUCUUUUAUGACCAGAAAGCUUUGACAGCAAAAAUGUAAUGUUUUGCCAGUUUACCAACAAAAAUACCAAAUAUCUGUCAGUAAAAAGAUACUCUCUCUCAGAACAUGGUUUCCUGAGAAAUUUGUGGUGAAUACUUACCAAGAAGUAUUAUUUUAUCAAUUUCAGUCACAAAACUUAGUUUAGAAUGAAGACCUGAGCUGUUUGAACUGCAGUUAUUAUUUUCAAAUAUACCAAAGUCAUACAGCAGUUAAGUGUUAUCUACCUGAAAACAAACAAACAAGUGAGCUUUCAAUAGCUAGACAAAAAAUAGAAAUUCCUGCAUGAUACAGUUUUCAACCAUUCUUCUGGUCACUUUUUCCUCUUUCAAUAAGCCCUAAGUCUCAACUCUCUGUAAGUUAGGAUUAGUCUCCUGUAUAUUCCAUGUCUAAAAACAGGACACAGGUUCCUAAGACACAAAGGUGACAAUGAGUAUUUGCCUAAAAAAAUGAAAUUUGGCACAGCGAACAGCCUUAGUCUCACAUGCGCCUCAGUGUUGGAAUGAAAUUGGUGUUGAUGUGUGAACCAGGCUAAGGGUUUACAUGAAUUCACAGUAAAUUUUGUAAUUGAUGUCAUAACUGUCUGCUUUAUAUUCUUUGUGGUUCUGUGCAUGUGUCUGUAGCUCACAGGGAAUUCCAAAAUGAAUGACACUCCACAGGGAAUAAAACAGAGCCUGAAGGUGUCCUGCCUUUUUUU